Molecule: non-coding RNA, 30 nt
Filed under: Rattus norvegicus (Norway rat)
Lineage: Eukaryota; Metazoa; Chordata; Mammalia; Rodentia; Muridae
Source: RNAcentral
UAGGAGCUUUUCUAACUAUGGAACAUUGAU